CUUCUUAAGGGGAUCCAGGACCAGUCUCCAGUGCCAGAUCGUUGCUCCUCUAUGGAAUCCGUUACUACGAGUGGGCGCCUGAGUCAUCUUCGCUUCUGGAACCAAGCCUCAGAAUUCUCCCGGUCACACCAACGAGCCUCUGCCGACUCAAGCCGCACCAACCGCCGCCGAUUCAAGCUAAUCCACCAGUGACGCCACGGGCUGCAGACACAUUCAAUCAUCUUCGUGGGAAUCUCUCGGACGUGACUACUCCACCCAAACAUCUACAAAACCUAGAACCGAACAUUAAAACUCAUAACCCAUCA
Oryzias latipes (Japanese medaka) is the source of this 305-nucleotide long non-coding RNA. RefSeq lists it as uncharacterized. The record is from RefSeq and is a predicted model, not a curated record. NCBI's taxonomy places the organism in Eukaryota, Metazoa, Chordata, Actinopteri, Beloniformes, Adrianichthyidae.